Molecule: long non-coding RNA, 1387 nt
Organism: Nylanderia fulva
Lineage: Eukaryota; Metazoa; Arthropoda; Insecta; Hymenoptera; Formicidae
Source: RefSeq, a predicted model, not a curated record
UUACGUUUAGUUCUCUGCCAUCGGUCUUAGUCUUCUUCUUCAGUACAAAGAGCAUAUCAAAAGAAAAACAUUUAAAAAAAUGAAAUACAUCAUGAUGUCAAAUAGACGGUGAUAACGAGGAUGCUGAUGGAGUGACGACCGAACUCCAAUAAAGCACACCAAUUUGACAGAUGACAUGAGCCAUUUUCUGAGAUGACAGAGGGCGAGAACGCGUCCACGUGUUUUCGCUCUUUAUUUACGGAACAGCCGUAUACGGUUGGCGAAUAAUGGUCGAUCACCAGUUCGUUCGCACGAUCGCUGAUAUAUCGAGAUCGUGUAUAGUUAACCCUCUUAUAGGAAGCAGCUGACGCGAUUCUGCUUGUUUAUUUUUUCUGUAACUAUGGAACUUACUUGCUAAACAAUUUUAUUAUCUAAAGCAAUCAUGAAGCAUUAAUUUCAUUUCUCGAUUCUAGCUUAAAUUGCAUUAAAUUUGUCCUUUUUGCGUAUUUAUAAUUUAAAAUAACAAAUAUAGUUAUAUUGAAGAUAUACAUAUUCAUAUUUGAUUAUGUUUCUCAAUGUUACCCUUUCGUUGAAGAAUUAAAAUCUAUGUCAGAAGAUUUAUCUCCGCGAUAAUAAUAAGUUUCGAUCGCGAACAAUUGAUGGUAUAACUUGGAGGAUUGAUUGAAAGAAAUGUAGUUCUCGGACCUAUAGACGCGAAAGUGGAUUUAUGUACACUUCCUAACACGAGCCGUGCGACGCCUCGGCUAAUAAUAAGCGUAUAUAGCUCGUCAACAAUGCAUGAGAGAGCCGCUACGUGGAAAACGCGACCUUUCCCUGUAUCGCCUCCAUCGCUACGCUUUUCCAAUCGUAGGAAAUAUGACGUUUUUUCACCCUACAUCGCUCGAUGCGCAAGCACGGGGUGGAGAUUCGAGGACACGCGAUGGAGUCCGAUUGGUCGACGAUUUCACCCUCCAGGACAAGGGUUGCUAGACGACGCGCUACCUGACGUGUCGAAUAUGACCUUGUUAAUGCAUUAAUGAUGAUGUCAAUGCUUAUUAAUUGAACAAGUUCACGCUAUCAUAUGACAGAUACAGUUAUUACAUCUCAAGAUUGUUGAUAGGUAUUAGAGAAAAAUUAUUUAACUUUUUCCUUUCUCCCUUUUUCAUACAUCUAUAUAGCAACUAAAAACCUUCACACAAUAUUUCCAUUAAUAGAGCAAUAAAAAAUUAUAACAGAAAGUAAUUUUUUGUAAUAUUUAUUUAAAAAAAACAAGGUAAAUCGGUUCGUCAAGAGACGAUAAGUAUGAAUCCUUACAGUAUAUACAUUUCCAGUCGGGCAAGAUUAAUUACGAUUAAUAAGAUGUCUAGAAUAAUUGCUUAUAUAAUUAAAAAAACGAUGAAUACUUUAA